GAUGAACGCUAGCUACAGGCUUAACACAUGCAAGUCGAGGGGAAACGGCAUUGAGUGCUUGCACUCUUUGGACGUCGACCGGCGCACGGGUGAGUAACGCGUAUCCAACCUUCCCAUUACUGUGGGAUAACCUGCCGAAAGGCAGACUAAUACCACAUAGUCUUCGAUGACGGCAUCAGAUUUGGAGUAAAGAUUUAUCGGUAAUGGAUGGGGAUGCGUCUGAUUAGCUUGUUGGCGGGGUAACGGCCCACCAAGGCGACGAUCAGUAGGGGUUCUGAGAGGAAGGUCCCCCACAUUGGAACUGAGACACGGUCCAAACUCCUACGGGAGGCAGCAGUGAGGAAUAUUGGUCAAUGGACGGAAGUCUGAACCAGCCAAGUAGCGUGCAGGAUGACGGCCCUAUGGGUUGUAAACUGCUUUUGUAUGGGGAUAAAGUUAGGGACGUGUCCCUAUUUGCAGGUACCAUACGAAUAAGGACCGGCUAAUUCCGUGCCAGCAGCCGCGGUAAUACGGAAGGUCCAGGCGUUAUCCGGAUUUAUUGGGUUUAAAGGGAGCGUAGGCUGGAGAUUAAGUGUGUUGUGAAAUGUAGACGCUCAACGUCUGACUUGCAGCGCAUACUGGUUUCCUUGAGCACGCACAACGUUGGCGGAAUUCGUCGUGUAGCGGUGAAAUGCUUAGAUAUGACGAAGAACUCCGAUUGCGAAGGCAGCUGACGGGAGCGCAACUGACGCUGAAGCUCGAAGGUGCGGGUAUCAAACAGG
Molecule: ribosomal RNA, 761 nt
Filed under: Prevotella melaninogenica
Lineage: Bacteria; Pseudomonadati; Bacteroidota; Bacteroidia; Bacteroidales; Prevotellaceae
Description: bacterial SSU rRNA
Rfam family: Bacterial small subunit ribosomal RNA
Source: RNAcentral